AGGAGAAGUAAAAGUCGUAACAAGGUUUCCGUAGGUGAACCUGCGGAAGGAUCAUUAAUGAAAUGUUUGUUGAGAAGGGUUGUAGCUGGCCUCCAGGGGCAUGUGCACACCCCGAUCGCAUCCACCUCCCACACCUGUGCACCGCCUGUAGCUUGGGAUGAUCACGGAGCCCUGAUGGGUGACGAAUGCCCUCGUCUAUGAAUAUUUCACACACGCUCAAAGUAUGACAGAAUGUAUAUCAUAUUGCGUCUGAUAAACGUGACAAAUACAACUUUCAACAACGGAUCUCUUGGCUCUCGCAUCGAUGAAGAACGCAGCGAAAUGCGAUAAGUAAUGUGAAUUGCAGAAUUCAGUGAAUCAUCGAAUCUUUGAACGCACCUUGCGCUCCUUGGUAUUCCGAGGAGCAUGCCUGUUUGAGUGUCAUGAAAUUCUCAACUGCCCCAGGCUUUGUGGCCUGCGGGUGAAGUUGGACUUGGAGGUGUGCUGGCGCAUGAAUGGGCUUUGUGUCCUGCCGUGCUUGUCGGCUCCUCUCGAAUGCAUGAGCUUUCCAAUCCUUGGCAAAGUAUCRUCGAUGUGAUAAUUAUCUACGUCGUCUGAGAAAGCCGAAAAGGGGAAAUCUUUGAUCACGCCGGGGUGACCCGUGUCUGACACAUUCGACCUCAAAUCAGGUAGGACUACCCGCUGAACUUAAGCAUAUC
Molecule: ribosomal RNA, 698 nt
Filed under: uncultured Tomentella
Lineage: Eukaryota; Fungi; Basidiomycota; Agaricomycetes; Thelephorales; Thelephoraceae
Description: eukaryotic LSU rRNA
Rfam family: 5.8S ribosomal RNA (bases 270-423)
Source: RNAcentral